This 66-nucleotide transfer RNA is filed under the name Vespula vulgaris. RNAcentral's name for it is "tRNA-Ala". The record is from RNAcentral. Lineage: Eukaryota; Metazoa; Arthropoda; Insecta; Hymenoptera; Vespidae.
AGGAUAUUAGUUAAAAUAUAACAUUUAUAUUGCAAAUAAAAAUUAUUUUCUAUAAAUAUAUCUUUA